CCUACGGGUGGCAGCAGUGAGGAAUAUUGGGCAAUGGCCGUAAGGCGGAACCAGCCAAGUCGCGGGAAGGAAGAAGGAGCGAUGGUUUGUAAACUUCUUUUAUAGGGGAAUAAAGGUAGCCACGUGUGGAUAUUUGCAUGUACCCUAUGAAUAAGCAUCGGCUAACUCCGUGCCAGCAGCCGCGGUAAUACGGAGGAUGCGAGCGUUAUCCGGAUUUAUUGGGUUUAAAGGGUGCGUAGGUUGUUUUUUAAGUCAGCGGUGAAAGUUUGUGGCUCAACCAUAAAAUUGCCGUUGAAACUGGCAGACUUGCGUGUGUUUGCGGUAGGCGGAAUGCGUGGUGUCGCCG
Molecule: ribosomal RNA, 346 nt
Filed under: uncultured bacterium
Lineage: Bacteria
Description: partial 16S ribosomal RNA
Rfam family: Bacterial small subunit ribosomal RNA
Source: RNAcentral